Molecule: long non-coding RNA, 1298 nt
Organism: Argentina anserina (silverweed cinquefoil)
Lineage: Eukaryota; Viridiplantae; Streptophyta; Magnoliopsida; Rosales; Rosaceae
Exons: 3
Source: RefSeq, a predicted model, not a curated record
AGGGAAUAGGCUUGGCACGACCUUGACAAAGAGAAGCUUGGCAUUGUUGGUUAGUAAGUGCUUGGCAUGAGCAUGUAUAGGGCUUGGCGUGCCCCUUCCAGUCUUUUGGUCGUAAUUCCGAUUACCAUUGUGUUUAGCUUGGUGUAGGCUUGGAGUAUGCAUUGGCUUGUCGCAAUUAUAACUUAGCAUUUGAAUCAAGUUAGAUUACACGCAUGAUGAAUUCAUGACAAGAGUUCUCUCAAGUACGACCGGAUUGAACAAGUAAAAUAGAGUGGUGUAUGCACGGGCUUGUGUGAGAUUGCUGCUUUUUAAUUCGGUGAAACUGUGAAAGUACUUUGACCGAGUUUUUCAAUAAGAAUUUGGCUCUCUCUUCAUGUCGUUUGGUCUGAUAAAAGAGGAGGCAAGGCUAAAUUCCAUCUUUCCUCACCAAAUCGGAGACCAAGAGCUGCUUAGAGGAACGCAAGCUUUGCAAUACAGCACCAUAGUUGAUCAAUUGGGGAAAAUUCGUCUUCAUGGCUAACGUUCCAUGGGAGGAUUGCAUAUUCAGUUAUGAGCAUGAUUUAGGCAUGAACAUUUCAAUCGAUCAAUGAGCAGGCAUCUUCAUUCACCGCGGUGAUCACCGCAGCCUAUAGCCAUGAGCUUGACUGUAAUUGCAGAGACCUCAAACCUCAAAGCCCUGCAGCAAUUGGCGAUGAGUUGGCCUUAUGCGCGAAACCUCCAUGUCUAUUGACGAGAUUGAGGUGGAAUUAUGAUUAGAGCCAUCAGACUAUGCUUGGACACUUCAAUGCUUGACACCCUCUGAGUUACAACUUUUGGAAUUGCAACAAUUAUUUCGGUUUGAGAAAGACUUGUGAUAAUGACCUUGGUUUGGCAUCAGGCUUGUUUUGCGUAUAAAAUUGGAUAUUAUGUAUGGAGCUGAGCAUUGUGGGCAAUGUGAAUGAGAUUUGUACAGUAGAAUAGUCACUGCAGUGGAAAGUUUUGGCUACAAUAUGGAGUUUACUAUAAUAUAGAAAGUGUGAGAUAAAUUUGGGAGCUGCGGGGUGAAAUAAACUACAGAUCAGACCAUAAUGUGUCAACCUAUACAGUUGUACAUAGGCUAGCAUUGGUUCUCUGUAUCCGGGACAUGCUCUUGUAUAAAAUCUUUGAAGUGUUGCUUGAAGGGUAUAUGCUUGAACAACAAUAUGGGAUGACCAUGGACUAAAUUUCCACAGUAAUCUUGAACAUGAUCAUAACCAAUUAGCCCCCAAGUGUAAUAACAUACGAUUUGAGAGAAAAAUGAAGUUUCUUGUUGCUUGGAA